RNAcentral lists this ribosomal RNA (740 nucleotides) under uncultured bacterium. Its description in RNAcentral is "bacterial SSU rRNA". It matches the Rfam family "Bacterial small subunit ribosomal RNA", at positions 8 to 796 of the family's 1533-position model. The record is from RNAcentral.
AGAGUUUGAUCAUGGCUCAGAACGAACGCUGGCGGCAGGCUUAACACAUGCAAGUCGAGCGCCCCGCAAGGGGAGCGGCAGACGGGUGAGUAACGCGCGGGAAUCUACCCUUUUCUACGGAAUAACGCAGGGAAACUUGUGCUAAUACCGUAUGUGUCCUUCGGGAGAAAGAUUUAUCGGGAAAGGAUGAGCCCGCGUUGGAUUAGCUAGUUGGUGGGGUAAAGGCCUACCAAGGCGACGAUCCAUAGCUGGUCUGAGAGGAUGAUCAGCCACAUUGGGACUGAGACACGGCCCAAACUCCUACGGGAGGCAGCAGUGGGGAAUAUUGGACAAUGGGCGCAAGCCUGAUCCAGCCAUGCCGCGUGAGUGAUGAAGGCCCUAGGGUUGUAAAGCUCUUUCACCGGAGAAGAUAAUGACGGUAUCCGGAGAAGAAGCCCCGGCUAACUUCGUGCCAGCAGCCGCGGUAAUACGAAGGGGGCUAGCGUUGUUCGGAAUUACUGGGCGUAAAGCGCACGUAGGCGGAUCGAUCAGUCAGGGGUGAAAUCCCAGGGCUCAACCCUGGAACUGCCUUUGAUACUGUCGAUCUGGAGUAUGGAAGAGGUAAGUGGAAUUCCGAGUGUAGAGGUGAAAUUCGUAGAUAUUCGGAGGAACACCAGUGGCGAAGGCGGCUUACUGGUCCAUUACUGACGCUGAGGUGCGAAAGCGUGGGGAGCAAACAGGAUUAGAUACCCUAGUAGUCC